This 548-nucleotide ribosomal RNA is filed under the name uncultured archaeon. RNAcentral describes it as "bacterial SSU rRNA". It matches the Rfam family "Archaeal small subunit ribosomal RNA", at positions 328 to 879 of the family's 1478-position model. The record is from RNAcentral.
GGGUGCCCAGGCGCGAAAACUCCACACUGUACGACAGUACGAUGGGGUUAUCUCGAGUGCAGUCCGAUAAGGGCUGCUUUUCCAUAGAGUAAUAUCCUGUGGGAAUAAGAGGGGGGCAAGACUGGUGUCAGCCGCCGCGGUAACACCAGCCCCUCGAGUGGUGGGGACUAUUAUUUGGUCUAAAGCGUCCGUAGCUGGCUGUAUCCGUCCCCCGUUAAAUCCAGCGUCCUAAACGUUGGACUGCGGGUGAUACCAUACAGCUAGAGGGUGGGAUAGGUGAGCGGUAUUUCUGGGGUAGGGGCGAAAUCCUUUGAUCCCAGGAGGACCACCAGUGGCGAAGGCUGCUCACUAGAACACGCCUGACGGUCAGGGACGAAAGCUGGGGCAGCGAACCGGAUUAGAUACCCGGGUAGUCCCAGCUGUAAACGAUGCUAGCUAGGUGUUGGGUCGGCCACGUGCCGCCCCAGUGCCGCAGGGAAGCCGUUAAGCUAGCCACCUGGGGAGUACGGCCGCAAGGCUGAAACUUAAAGGAAUUGGCGGGGGAGCAC